Molecule: long non-coding RNA, 1352 nt
Filed under: Macaca fascicularis (crab-eating macaque)
Lineage: Eukaryota; Metazoa; Chordata; Mammalia; Primates; Cercopithecidae
Description: lncRNA (ENSMFAG00000062930.1)
Source: RNAcentral
UUUUUUUGUUUUUUUUUUUUUGAGACGGAGUCUCGCUCUGUCGCCCAGGCUGGAGAGCAGUGACCGGAUCUCAGCUCACUGCAAGCUCCGCCUCCCGGGUUCACGCCAUUCUCCUGCCUCAGCCUCCCGAAUAGCUGGGACUAUAGGCGCCCGCCACCUCACCCGGCUAGUUUUUUGUAUUUUUUAGUAGAGACGGGGUUUCACCGUGUUAGCCAGGAUGGUCUCCAUCUCCUGACCUCGUGAUCCACCUGCCUUGGCCUCCCAAAGUGCUGAGAUUACAGGCUUGAGCCACCGCGCCCGGCCCUUUUUUUUUUUUUUUUUUUUUGAGAUGGAGUCUUGCUCUGUCGCCAGGUUGGAGUUCAGUGGCGGGAUUUUGGUUCACUGCAACCUCCGCCUCCCAGGUUCAAGCGAUUCUCCUGCCUCAGCCUCCUGAGUAGCUGGGACUACAGGCGCGUGCCACUACACCCAGUUGAUUUUUGUAUUUUUAGUAGGGAUGGAGUUUCACCAUCUUGUCCAGGAUGGUCUUGAUCUCUCGACCUCAUGAUCUGCCUGCCUCAGCCUCUCAAAGUGCUGGCAUUACAGGCGUGAGCCACUGCGCCCAGCUGAAAUACAGAAGUUUUAAAUUUUGAUGUGGUUCGAUUUAUCCAUUUGUUCUUUUAUUAAUUGUGCUUUUGCUGUCAUUUAAGAGAUAUCUGUCAGUGCCAUCAGGAUUUUCUUCUAUGUUUUCUCCUAGAAGUUUUGUCAUUUUAUAUUUAAAUCUUCGAUCCACUUCGAUUUAAUUUUUGUAUACAGUGUGAGGCAUAGAUUGAGUUUAUUUUUUUAAAUACAGUUAUCUGGUUGUUCUAGCACCAUUUGUUAAAAACGCUAGCCUUUUUCCACAGCAUUGCCUUUGUAACUUUGUCAAAACUCAAAUGUCUAAAUAUAUGUGGAUCUAAUUUUGGACUCACUAUUCUUGUCUAUUGAUCUAUAUGCCUACCUUUAUGCCAAUACCAUGCUGUUCUGAUUAAUGUAGCUUCAUAAUACUUCUUCAAAUCAGAUAGUGUCAGCCCUCUAACUGUUCUUUUUCAGAGUUGUUUUGACCAUUUUAGGCCCUUUCAUAUUUUUAUAUGAGUUUUAAAAUCAGCUUGUCGAUUCCUACAAGGAAAGCCUGCUGAGAUUUUGAUGGGGAUUCCAAUGGAUGUAUAGGUGAGUUCAGAGAGAAUUGCCAUCUUAAUGACUUUGAGUCUUCUGGCCCAUGAACAAAAUAUGAUUAAUUCUUGCUAUUCAUGGUAGUUAUGUUUUGUAAAGUGUCCGUGAACACUGAAUUAGCCAAUACUGAACCACUGAUCCCAGGGGAAGUACAGAGUGCAGUU